RNAcentral lists this ribosomal RNA (468 nucleotides) under uncultured bacterium. RNAcentral's name for it is "partial 16S ribosomal RNA". It matches the Rfam family "Bacterial small subunit ribosomal RNA", at positions 28 to 507 of the family's 1533-position model. The record is from RNAcentral.
GACGAACGCUGGCGGCGUGCUUAACACAUGCAAGUCGAACGGAAAGGCCCUGCUUUUGUGGGGUGCUCGAGUGGCGAACGGGUGAGUAACACGUGAGUAACCUGCCCUUGACUUUGGGAUAACUUCAGGAAACUGGGGCUAAUACCGGAUAGGAGCUCCUGCUGCAUGGUGGGGGUUGGAAAGUUUCGGCGGUUGGGGAUGGACUCGCGGCUUAUCAGCUUGUUGGUGGGGUAGUGGCUUACCAAGGCUUUGACGGGUAGCCGGCCUUAGAGGGUGACCGGCCACAUUGGGACUGAGAUACGGCCCAGACUCCUACGGGAGGCAGCAGUGGGGAAUCUUGCACAAUGGGCGGAAGCCUGAUGCAGCAACGCCGCGUGCGGGAUGACGGCCUUCGGGUUGUAAACCGCUUUCGCCUGUGACGAAGCGUGAGUGACGGUAAUGGGUAAAGAAGCACCGGCUAACUACGUG